GGCCCAUUCGUCUAGAGGCCUAGGACGCGGCCCUCUCAAGGCUGAAACAGGGGUUCGAAUCCCCUAUGGGCCAUCA
RNAcentral lists this transfer RNA (76 nucleotides) under Ardenticatenia bacterium. RNAcentral describes it as "tRNA-Glu". It matches the Rfam family "tRNA". Rfam says of the family: Transfer RNA (tRNA) molecules are approximately 80 nucleotides in length. Lineage: Bacteria; Bacillati; Chloroflexota; Ardenticatenia. The record is from RNAcentral.